This 496-nucleotide ribosomal RNA is filed under the name uncultured bacterium. RNAcentral describes it as "partial 16S ribosomal RNA". It matches the Rfam family "Bacterial small subunit ribosomal RNA", at positions 28 to 507 of the family's 1533-position model. The record is from RNAcentral.
GAUGAACGCUGGCGGCGUGCCUAAUACAUGCAAGUCGAGCGAACGGACGAGAAGCUUGCUUCUCUGAUGUUAGCGGCGGACGGGUGAGUAACACGUGGAUAACCUACCUAUAAGACUGGGAUAACUUCGGGAAACCGGAGCUAAUACCGGAUGAUAUUUUGAACCGCAUGGUUCAAAAGUGAAAGACGGUCUUGCUGUCACUUAUAGAUGGAUCCGCGCUGCAUUAGCUAGUUGGUAAGGUAACAGCUUACCAAGGCAACGAUGCAUAGCCGACCUGAGAGGGUGAUCGGCCAAACUGGAACUGAGACACGGUCCAGACUCCUACGGGAGGCAGCAGUAGGGAAUCUUCCGCAAUGGCGAAAGCCUGACGGAGCAACGCCGCGUGAGUGAUGAAGGUCUUCGGAUCGUAAAACUCUGUUAUUAGGGAAGAACAUAUGUGUAAGUAACUGUGCACAUCUUGACGGUACCUAAUCAGAAAGCCACGGCUAACUACGUG